Molecule: long non-coding RNA, 100 nt
Organism: Dermochelys coriacea (leatherback sea turtle)
Lineage: Eukaryota; Metazoa; Chordata; Testudines; Dermochelyidae
Exons: 3
Source: RefSeq, a predicted model, not a curated record
CUCUGCUUCUGGUGCUCUUUGUGCCAGUCCAAACUGGCUUGCUGUGGUCUCCUCGGUUUCCCAAAACAUCCCAGCUCCAGAGACAUUAGAGUCAGCUCCC